GAAUAAUUCAGUUGGUAGAGCAUGAGACUCUUAAUGUCAUGCUCACGGGUUCAAGCCCUGUGUUGGGUG
Podarcis lilfordi (Lilford's wall lizard) is the source of this 69-nucleotide non-coding RNA. NCBI's taxonomy places the organism in Eukaryota, Metazoa, Chordata, Lepidosauria, Squamata, Lacertidae. The record is from the annotation of a GenBank genome assembly.